AAAAUAAUGUUCUCUUUCCAUCGUAUAAUUUGGGGAAUAUGGCCCAAAAGUUUCUACCGAGCUACCGUAAAUGGCUUGACUACGAGGUGCAACAAAACAAGG
RNAcentral lists this non-coding RNA (102 nucleotides) under Priestia endophytica. RNAcentral's name for it is "Bacillus endophyticus Guanine sequence". It matches the Rfam family "Purine riboswitch aptamer". From Rfam's summary of the family: Riboswitches are metabolite binding domains within certain messenger RNAs that serve as precision sensors for their corresponding targets. Allosteric rearrangement of mRNA structure is mediated by ligand binding, and this results in modulation of gene expression. Lineage: Bacteria; Bacillati; Bacillota; Bacilli; Caryophanales; Bacillaceae. The record is from Rfam by way of RNAcentral.